This 402-nucleotide ribosomal RNA is filed under the name uncultured bacterium. RNAcentral describes it as "bacterial SSU rRNA". It matches the Rfam family "Bacterial small subunit ribosomal RNA", at positions 362 to 757 of the family's 1533-position model. The record is from RNAcentral.
UUUUGGACAAUGGGGGCAACCCUGAUCCAGCAAUGCCGCGUGAGUGAAGAAGGCCUUCGGGUUGUAAAGCUCUUUUGUCAGGGAAGAAACACCGGCUUUAACACAGUCCGGGAAUGACGGUGCCUGAAGAAUAAGCACCGGCUAACUACGUGCCAGCAGCCGCGGUAAUACGUAGGGUGCGAGCGUUAAUCGGAAUUACUGGGCGUAAAGCGUGCGCAGGCGGUUAUACAAGACAGGCGUGAAAUCCCCGGGCUUAACCUGGGAAUGGCGCCUGUGACUGUAUAGCUAGAGUGUGUCAGAGGGGGGUAGAAUUCCACGUGUAGCAGUGAAAUGCGUAGAUAUGUGGAGGAAUACCAAUGGCGAAGGCAGCCCCCUGGGAUAACACUGACGCUCAUGCACGAA